CCGGCGCCGGCGCGCCGUGCCUUUGCGAGAGCGGAGUUGGGUUCUCCUCAGCACAGACGCGGAGAGCAUCGCGAGGGCGGAGCUGCGUUCUCAUCUGCACAGAUUUCAGUGGUACUGCGAAGGCGGAGCAGAGUUCUCCUCAGAUGAUGAUUAUUCCCCACCUUCUAAGAGACAAAGACCAACGAGCCGCCACAGCCACCAGUCCCAGAACCCGCCAAUGCUGGGGAACGGAAAAUGAGGGAGUUCAACUCUGGCCCUCACAAUCCAGUGGAGGAGACGCAACUCAUCUGCCUCUGUCCCUCUGGGCACGCCUCGUGCCAGGUGCAUCUGUGGACAGGGGCCAUGCUCCUGGGCUUCCAAAGUUGGAGAAAGCUGCCAGGCUCAGGUCUGAAGGCCAGAAUUCUACAGUAAGUCCUACUGAGUCAAGGUGGGAGCAGGGUCGGUAGCUUCCGAGGCUCUGCGGGAGAAUCUGUUUCCUGGCCGUAGAGGUGGCCUGCACUCCUCAGCCUGUGCUGCCCGUCUCGAAUGACUGGAGUUUCCUGCUUCUGUCACUACACCUCCCACCCUCUCCAUCACCUGCUCUGCUCUUACAAGGAUCCGAAGAAAUGGAAUCAUCGUAUCGCUGAUCUACGUAAACAAACUGAAGAAUUGUCUGAAAGAAAAUAUGACAUGAACUUAUGAAUUCAAUAGGUGAAGAUUUACAACUUGAUAAAUCAACUUUGUCAGAGCCACCUAAGCUGAAGAUUCCCUUGAGAACAAGUACUGUCCCUAGUUUCCCAGUGCUGGAAUAUAGAAAAUGGAUGGACAACUGGACCUACCAUGAAAGACUUCUGAAUCCAGGAAGAGAAACUGACUGGGCAACAUGUUAUUCAGAUGGGGUCUUCUUAUGUUGCCCAGGUUGGUCUCAAAUUCCUAGGCUCAAGUGAUUCUGCCCACCUCUGCCUCCCAAAGUGCUGGGAUUACGGGCAUGAGCCAGUGCAUCUGGCCACCUUAUUUUCUAUUACUGGCUCAAUGUAAUGGCUCCAUCUCAGGAACAGCCAAUGAAAG
Molecule: long non-coding RNA, 1047 nt
Filed under: Homo sapiens (human)
Lineage: Eukaryota; Metazoa; Chordata; Mammalia; Primates; Hominidae
Description: PREDICTED lncRNA (TCONS_00137191)
Source: RNAcentral